GAGGACAUCUUGGGGAGGAGCUCCUGAGCAGAGGAGCCGGAGCUGCCGGCAAAGUUCAGGAUGAGCAGGAGAUCCGAGGGGCUGGAGGCGGGGGAGGGGCAGGAAGGAGUCAGAGGAACUGAAGCCAGACCACCAAGGCCUUUAGGGUCACGGCGGCGGCGGAGACUGACAUUAUCUUAGGAGAGCCUCCUGUGUGAGGGAUUCAUCUGUGUCGCCGGGGAUGGCAAUUAUUCACUCCCUGUGGAAGGCUUUAAUUGAGAGGCGCCACGGUCUGAGAAGCAUUGGGAUGAUAAAUUCUAUGCUCCUCUUACCUGUUGGGGCGUCCUUGCGACCGUGUCACAUUUGCUGUCUUGGUCAAGACUGGAAGCGUACAUUUGGGAGCACACAGAUGCAUUUAAAGUCACGGAACUGUCGGAAAUCACCUAAGAGGAGAGGAAGAAGGAAACAGAAUAAAAGGAGUUCUAGGAUCAAGCCAGCAAGGAAGAUGGAAACGAUGCAUCUUGUGAGGUGGGAGAAAAACGGGAAGGUGUGGCGCGUCGGGGUUUCAAGGAGGAGGAACAGUUUGGCAGAGAUGUCCAUUUGGCAGUCAAGGUAGAGGUCACCUGGGAACUUGGCCACAGCAGUUUCUAAGGAGAGGUGGGCACAGGAGCAAGUCUGAGGUCGAGGUGGGAGAGGCACUAGGACAAUGCAGAUACACAUGGAGCCAAGUCCUUGAAGGGCACUCGUGGGGAGUGGGACACACCACUUUCAUGCUAAUUGGAGGAAAGAGAAACCUUCUUUAAGUUACUAUAAAAUAAUUAGGACAUACAAAAAGGUAUCAUAAAUCACACUGUCCAGCUUAAAAAAUACUCAGUAUAGGAGU
Molecule: long non-coding RNA, 862 nt
Organism: Phacochoerus africanus (Common warthog)
Lineage: Eukaryota; Metazoa; Chordata; Mammalia; Artiodactyla; Suidae
Exons: 3
Source: RefSeq, a predicted model, not a curated record